This 503-nucleotide ribosomal RNA is filed under the name uncultured bacterium. Its description in RNAcentral is "partial 16S ribosomal RNA". It matches the Rfam family "Bacterial small subunit ribosomal RNA", at positions 28 to 523 of the family's 1533-position model. The record is from RNAcentral.
GACGAACGCUGGCGGCGUGCUUAACACAUGCAAGUGGAGCGACGAACCCUUCGGGGGGCAAAGCCGCGAACGGGUGAGUAACACGUGGGUAACCUGCCCCGAUGACUGGGACAACCCGGGGAAACCCGGGUUAAUACCGGAUGAUGUGCACACACUUAAGUGUGUUCACUAAAGGUAGCUUCGGCUUCCGCAUUGGGAGGGGCCCGCGGCCCAUUAGCUUGUUGGUGAGGUAACGGCUCACCAAGGCAACGAUGGGUAGCUGGUCUGAGAGGACGAUCAGCCACACUGGGACUGAGACACGGCCCAGACUCCUACGGGAGGCAGCAGUGGGGAAUCUUGCGCAAUGCGCGAAAGCGUGACGCAGCAACGCCGCGUGAGGGAAGACGGCCUUCGGGUUGUAAACCUCUUUCAGUAGGGACGAAGGCUGGCCGGUGAAUAGCCGUGUCGGUUGACGGUACCUUCAGAAGAAGCUCCGGCUAACUACGUGCCAGCCGCCGCCGUAA